GACGAACGCUGGCGGCGUGCCUAAUACAUGCAAGUUGAGCGCUGAAGGUUGGUACUUGUACCAACUGGAUGAGCAGCGCACGGGUGAGUAACGCGUGGGGAAUCUGCCUUUGAGCGGGGGACAACAUUUGGAAACGAAUGCUAAUACCGCAUAAAAACUUUAAACACAAGUUUUAAGUUUGAAAGAUGCAAUUGCAUCACUCAAAGAUGAUCCCGCGUUGUAUUAGCUAGUUGGUGAGGUAAAGGCUCACCAAGGCGAUGAUACAUAGCCGACCUGAGAGGGUGAUCGGCCACAUUGGGACGGAGACACGGCCCAAACGCCUACGGGAGGGAGCAGUAGGGAAUCUUCGGCAAGGGACGAAAGUCUGACCGAGCAGCGCCGCGUGAGUGAAGAAGGUUUUCGGAUCGUAAAACUCUGUUGGUAGAGAAGAACGUUGGUGAGAGUGGAAAGCUCAUCAAGUGACGGUAACUACCCAGAAAGGGACGGCUAACUACGUG
This 497-nucleotide ribosomal RNA is filed under the name uncultured bacterium. Its description in RNAcentral is "partial 16S ribosomal RNA". It matches the Rfam family "Bacterial small subunit ribosomal RNA", at positions 28 to 507 of the family's 1533-position model. The record is from RNAcentral.